RNAcentral lists this ribosomal RNA (1054 nucleotides) under Gloeochaete wittrockiana. Its description in RNAcentral is "partial Eukaryotic large subunit ribosomal RNA". It matches the Rfam family "Eukaryotic large subunit ribosomal RNA", at positions 1126 to 2158 of the family's 3401-position model. Lineage: Eukaryota; Glaucocystophyceae; Gloeochaetales; Gloeochaetaceae. The record is from RNAcentral.
GUGGGCCAAUUUUGGUAAGCAGAACUGGCGAUGUGGGAUGAACUAAAAAGCCAGUGAAAGUGUCUAACAAGGAUUCUUCUGUAAAAAGAGGAAGAGAUUGUCACAAUUCAUGAGAAACCAUAAAAGGUAUUAAUUCAUAGAAACAGUAGGACGGUGGUCAUGGAAGUCGAAAUCCGCUAAGGAGUGUGUAAUAACUCACCUGCCGAAUGAAUUAGUCCUGAAAAUGGAUGACGCUGAAAUUGUGGACUUGGACUGGCUGUUGAGAACAAUCGACGGAUGAAUUGGUUUUCAUUUCAGAGAGGAUGUUCUCAACUGUAGAAAGAUGUGAUCAUAAUGUUGAAAUGUAAGAGUGAUUUUAUAUGAAAUUGUGAUUAGUACAGAUCUUGGUAGUAGUAGCAAAUAUUCAAGUGAGAGAAAGAAUCCAUUCUUUUUUGGAGUGGAUUCUGUGUGUAAAACUUGAAGACUGAAGUGGAGAAAGGUUCCAUAAAAACAGUAAUUGAAUAUGGGUGAGUCGAUCCUAAGUGAUAGGUUAAACACCAUCUGAAAGUGAAAGGAAGCGAAAGGGAAUCAGGUCAAAAUUCCUGAACAACGAUAGCUUUGCAUCGAGGCAACUCCAACCAACAAAUUUGUGAUUCAGAAAAAUAAAUAAAUAGUCUUUAAAGAGUUUUCUUUUCUUUUUAAUCUCUCUCAUUGUUGAAAUGAAACCUGGAAGUAAAUCAAUUAGAGAAGGGUUUUCAUGGAGAGUAAAGCAGUCUUCACAAAAGAUUGUAAAGAUGAAUUUAGUUUGUCAUAAAAAUCUGAAUCACCAACAGUUUGAAACAAAGAAGCUAUGGUUAUCGUACUCAUAACCGCAGCAGGUCUCCAAGGUUAAAAGCCUCUAGUCUGAUAAAACAAUGUAGGUAAGGGAAGUCGGCAAAAUAGAUUCGUAACUUUGGGAAAAGAAUUGGCUCUUUCGAUGUGAAGGAAGAGACUGUAAAAAGGUCUUGGAAAUCAAUGCAUCUAUGAAGAACUGAUACGAACAAGGGGAAUCCGACUGUUUAAUUAAAACAUAGCA